Chloebia gouldiae (Gouldian finch) is the source of this 1451-nucleotide long non-coding RNA. The record is from Ensembl. NCBI's taxonomy places the organism in Eukaryota, Metazoa, Chordata, Aves, Passeriformes, Passeridae.
ACAUGGGAACACAUGGGGACACCGGGGACAGUUGGGGAACAGCUGGGGACAGCUGGGGACAGCAGGGACAUCGGGGACACCGGGGGACAGCUGGGGACACAUGGGGACACCUGGGGAACAGUUGGGGAACAGUUGGGGACAGCUGGGGACAGCUGGGGAACAGUUGGGGAACAGUUGGGGACAGCUGGGGAACAGCUGGGGAACAGCUGGGGACAGCUGGGGACAGUUGGGGAACAGUUGGGGACAGCUGGGGACAGCUGGGGAACAGCUGGGGAACAGCUGGGGACACCUGGGGACAGCUGGGGACACCUGGGGAACAGUUGGGGAACAGUUGGGGACAGCUGGGGAGAGCUGGGAACAGUUGGGGACAGCUGGGGACAGCUGGGGACACCUGGGGACACCUGGGGACACUGGGGGAACAGUUGGGGAACAGCUGGGGAGACCUUGGGGACACCUGGGGAUGCCUUGGGGACACUUGGGAACAUCUGAGGACACCUGGGAACACCUCGGGGAUACCUGGGGAACAGCUGGGGAGACCUCAGGGAUACCUGGGGAUGCCUUGGGGACACCUUGGAGUCAUUUGGGGACACCUGGGGAUGCCUUGGGGACAGCUGGGGACACCUUGGGGAUGCCAGGGCACAUCUGGGGACAUCUUAGGGAUGCCUGGGGACACCUGGGGUUGGCUGGGGACACCCGGGGACAUCUUGGAGACACUUGGGGACACCUUGGAGCACCUGGGGAGGCCUUGGGGACAUCUGGGGACAUCUUGGAGACACCUUGGAGCACCUGGGGAAACCUUGGGGACACCUGGAGAUGCGUUGGCGACACCUGGGGACAUCUCAGGGAUGCCUGGGCACACUUGGGGACACCUUGGGAACAUCUGGGGACACCUGGGAAUGCCUUGGGGACACCUGGGGGACAUCUGGGGACAUCUCAGGGAUGCCUGGGCACACUUGGGGACACCUUGGGAACAUCUGGGGACAUGUGGGGAUGCCUUGGGGACACCUUGGGGACACCUGAGGAUGCCUGGCAACAGCUCAGGGACACCUGGGGAUGCCUUGGGGACACCUGGGGAUGCUGGGGGACACCUUGGGGCACCUGGGGACACCUUGGGAACAUCUGGGGACACCUGGGGAUGCCUUGGGGACACCAGGGGACGGUGGCUCUCUGUCGCAGCCCCGAACUGGGUGGCAACGCUCAACGUGGGCUACGGGGGGGCCCACGCCAGCUACUACCACCGGGCCAACGAGCAGGUGGGUGUCCCCCGCUGUCCCCUCUGUCCCCAUGCUGUCCCUGCUCUCCCCACGCUGUCCCCUCACUGUCCCCCUGCUGUCCCCGCUGUCCCCUCACUGUCCCCAUGUUGUCCCCUCGCUGUCCUCGCUGUCCCCACACUGUCCCCGCACUGUCCCCAGCUGUCCCCUCGCUGUCUCUGCUGUCCCCUCACUGUCCCG